GUCUCUAUAGCUCAGUGGUAGAGCAUGCGAUUGCAGUGGGUGCCGUCUGGUAGGUCUGUUCAUCGCGAGGCCAGGUGUUCAAACCACCUUGGAGACU
This 97-nucleotide transfer RNA is filed under the name Laccaria amethystina LaAM-08-1. It matches the Rfam family "tRNA". Rfam says of the family: Transfer RNA (tRNA) molecules are approximately 80 nucleotides in length. The record is from Rfam by way of RNAcentral. Lineage: Eukaryota; Fungi; Basidiomycota; Agaricomycetes; Agaricales; Hydnangiaceae.